Molecule: long non-coding RNA, 548 nt
Filed under: Rattus norvegicus (Norway rat)
Lineage: Eukaryota; Metazoa; Chordata; Mammalia; Rodentia; Muridae
Description: long non-coding RNA NONRATT003949
Source: RNAcentral
AGACAAGGCAAGAGAUGCUGACGAGCCACGGGAAGGGGAACAGAGGCUAGGAUUCUUCCCCAGAGCCAUCCAGGAGACAUGGCUGACAUCUUGAUUGAAGUCUCUGUUCUUCAGAAUGUAGAUACGAGCGUCUGACGUUAGGUUGCCCAGCCUCGGGUGAUGUUAUGACAGAACCAGGGUAGACCGUAACGUUUUGUUAUUUCACGGGAUUUGUAGCAGCGUUAGUACCAACAACAAAGCUCACACCACAGCAACUGAGAUAAUAAAGUCUGAGGGAGACGUCCACAUCUGCAUGGGCAAAGUCUGAGGGAGACGUCCACAUCUGCACGGGCGAAGUGGAGAGGGAAAGACAGCAGAGGGCCAUGUCCCUCCACCGUAGGCACGGGCAUGACAUCACAGGACCAAGUCCAUCCACCCUAGGCACAGGCAUAACACCUACCCACCAGGAAGUCACUUGUGAUAAGCACAAAGCUGAACUCAUUCCCACUUCUGCCUCUACCUUCCUGAGUUCUAUUCCUAUCAGAGUAAACCAGAAGCCUGCAGGCACU